GAGCACUGACUGCUCUUCCAAAGGUCCUGAGUUCAAUUCCCAGCAACCACAUGGUGGCUCACAACCAUCUGUAAUGGGAUCUGCAAACAGACAAUCUAACUUCCUCUAAUGAUUGUCACCAUCCUGGGUGGACUGCUGAGCUACUGAGUCACAUCUCUCUUCUGGGCACACUACAAAAGUUGUCUGUGGAGUUGAAAUGCUUAUUGCAGUAACCUCUGACCUUACGUGAUUUAAGGUUGAGAGCCUUUGGGAACGUGCUGUAUGACAUUGGCGCAAGUCCUCACCGUCUGCCGUGGCCAUCCUUGG
This is a long non-coding RNA of Grammomys surdaster, 306 nucleotides long. RefSeq lists it as uncharacterized. NCBI's taxonomy places the organism in Eukaryota, Metazoa, Chordata, Mammalia, Rodentia, Muridae. The record is from RefSeq and is a predicted model, not a curated record. The transcript is spliced from 3 exons.